GAUUUCUGGUUAGGUGCGCUUGGCCCGCCACCGUCAGGUGUUUUGUGAGUGCCGAUGCGCGCUUGCCAUCUCUGUCUGGAGAACGUUCCUGCCCUUUACUGGGUUGGGUUCGCAAUCCAGAACUUUUACUUUGAAAAAAUUAGAGUGUUUAAAGCAGGCGUCUGUUGCUGUGAAUACAUUAGCAUGGAAUAAUAACUUAGGGCUUCUGUCUUAUUUUGUUGGUUUCUAAGACUUGAAGUAAUGAUUGAUAGGGACAGUUGGGGGUGCUAGUAUUCAGCGGCCAGAGGUGAAAUUCUUGGAUUCGCUGAAGACUAACUUAUGCGAAAGCAUU
This 331-nucleotide ribosomal RNA is filed under the name uncultured Peregrinia. Its description in RNAcentral is "SSU rRNA". The stretch from base 109 to 331 matches the Rfam family "Eukaryotic small subunit ribosomal RNA", at positions 735 to 955 of the family's 1831-position model. Lineage: Eukaryota; Cercozoa; Imbricatea; Thaumatomonadida; Thaumatomastigidae. The record is from RNAcentral.